AAGUUUGGUGUCUGCCGUCUUCUUUUGCACCUGUACUUUUGCGCUUGGUUGGAAAUCACGUAAACUGUUUACAUCUUGUUCAGCCAGGAAAGCUGUCCUUUGGGAGUUCUACUUAUUCCUUUUUUUCUGGACUCGAAACCGGGGCCGUGGUUUCGGAAAUGGGAGGAAAGAUGGGAAGGAUGGACGCAGGUUUUCUGAGCCUCUCUACCUAGAGCCUGCCAGGAUAAACCCAAAUUAGAACCAACAUGUCCAGUACUCUCCGAACGUCUGCCACGUACAUCGUUCUCCUUGUUAACACCAGUGUGUAUCCAGUAUCAUAAAGCUUUGGGAAAAUAACUCUG
RNAcentral lists this long non-coding RNA (341 nucleotides) under Homo sapiens (human). RNAcentral's name for it is "non-protein coding lnc-BEND4-2:3". Lineage: Eukaryota; Metazoa; Chordata; Mammalia; Primates; Hominidae. The record is from RNAcentral.